CUUUGUUCCACUUGCUGUCAUCUAGGAAGGCAGAAGAAGCGAUAACGUACUCACAAUGGCAAAACACAACAUAAGCCUGGCGAUUGCCAUCGUGCUGGCAUUGGUCUUCUUCAUCAUCACUAUGGUGUUCACUGCUCUGGCGGGGCCGGGGAUAUAUCCAUUUUUGUCAACGACCCGUAACAUUUCAGAUGAGUUUGUAACCCAGAUCACACCAGCAGGGUGGACUUUUACUAUCUGGUCGAUCAUUUACAUCUUUCUGGCUUCAGUGUUGGUGUAUCUCAUCUCCGGUAUCUUCAGAAAGAAUGCAUACGGUUACGUCUACUGCAGCCCGGCUAUUUUGCCACAUGGAUUCUUUGUGGUUUGGUGCUUGAAUCUGGGCCUCAAUACUGCCUGGUUGUUCCUGUGGGACAGAAAGUUGAUGCCUGUUGCACUGGCUUUCCUCAUCCUAAUUGCCUUGAGUAACUACGCCCUGAUAUUCUUCUCCUGCCACGGUCUCCACAUCUAUGGAGCCUGGCUCAACAAGUACCACAAAGUAGACCUGUGGCUUCACCGUGUGUUGGUUCAGAACGGUAUUGCCAUAUAUGCAACAUGGACAACCAUUGCAUCCCUCGUCAACCUGACCAUCGUGCUGGAUCACGAUGCAAAUAUGUCCCCGGCGGACGCUGCCACCGUCUCACUCUCGGUUUUGACUGUACUGUUGUCUGUGUGGUUUUUCCUCGAAAACUUUGUCCUCGACAAACACGUGAGGUACAUUGUGAGCAUUUACCCCGCUGUGAUCUGGGCAGUGACGGGAGUGUUCACGAAAAACAACGAUGCUGCAGAUCCUAGUCGCAAUAACAUCUUCCUUUGUGAGGAACUUUUAAAACAUCUUAAUCAAUCUCAAUUGCAUCCACUGUGUUUAUACAUUCACUAUUCCACAAAUACUGCAUAACUUGUGAUUGAUUUUGUGUACAUGCAUAAAGGGAUCAAACCCAACUCCAGGGGACAGACAGUAUGCACACUAAUACUUCUCUCUGAUAUUUUCUUUCCACUCUAGCUGCUCUCUUGGCCGUAGCCUGCACGUUGUGUGCUGCACGGUUUUUCUUGGUCAUUUGGAGGCACAUCAAAAAUCCAUUUUACGAAGACCUCAGCCCAGAGAGCAUGUCUCCGAUGGAGAUCGCUGAGAAUCAGAAAAAGAUAUUUCAGUAAAGAUUUUAAUGGAUACUUUUAUGAUAAACCUUUUUAUAUCCAUACAGUAUUGGUUCUGGAUGAGGUGCAUUUCUAAAUGCUUUCUAUGUAUUGUAAUGUAUGACUGUUUUACCUGGGAGUAAAUUAAAUUAUAUGAUGCUGAGGUCCAAUUUAAGUUUGCCUCAUGUACUCAGCUUUAAAUACAUUGUUUACUUAAACUACACUUUCAGUUGUAAUGAGAUGCUAAAUUAAUUGAACUGUAUUCUUCUUACGGAUAUGAAAAAAUGGAAGUCACUGUUUGUUUUUGUAAAUGCGUUUUAACCUUUAUUUUGUAUCCUUUAAAAAAAUUAAUAUUGCUUUCCUCCAAUGUUAUGCUUUCGUUGAAUCAUUUGUGGUAUAUAAGAGAUAAGAAAUACUGCAACUGUUUAAAUCAAUUGUGCAAUCAUUUCCCUGGUAGUUCACUGAAGUAGCUGUUAGGUUGUAGUGGAUUUUAUAUAUAUUUGCACAUGUAGAUAAGAGAAGUUUAUGUUUUAAAUUAAUACAUAAAGAAAGAUAUGAUAAUUAAUUUGGGAUAUUAUGAGGAAUAUUCUGGAGGAAUGUAUUGUGAAACAUAAGAGAGGAUCACUGUUUUAUUAUUCUGUUUUAAUGACAAAUGUAAUUAUUAACUGUAUGAUGCAUGGGAAUGAAUGAAUGUUUUAUUGUUUAGACAAUAGUUAAAAUGGAUGCCGAUUGAAACCUAAUGUGUUGCUUUUAUUCUGAAGGGGGAACUUCCUGUCCUUGACCGGAAGAGUGAGCUUUGACCCCGCUAAUUUAUCAAUUGGCUUAGCGAACAGAACUGCGGCAUCCUUUGAACUGACCAAUGGAACUAACCUUUAGGUGUGAAUUCAUUUGCAUGACCAUACUAAUAGCCGAGCAUUUGUUCUGAGGAGACAUGGUUCUACUGGUCUGGAGACUCGAGACAGCCCCGGUCUGUGGCUCCUUGGGAGCUGCAGUCCGUCUGUGGAGAGUUCCUCCUUUCUGGCCCCACGAUCGUGAACGCUACAUGAGUA
Molecule: long non-coding RNA, 2216 nt
Filed under: Cyclopterus lumpus (lumpfish)
Lineage: Eukaryota; Metazoa; Chordata; Actinopteri; Perciformes; Cyclopteridae
Description: lncRNA (ENSCLMG00005020978.1)
Source: RNAcentral